This 877-nucleotide ribosomal RNA is filed under the name uncultured bacterium. RNAcentral describes it as "bacterial SSU rRNA". It matches the Rfam family "Bacterial small subunit ribosomal RNA", at positions 1 to 893 of the family's 1533-position model. The record is from RNAcentral.
CCCUUAGAGUUUGAUCCUGGCUCAGGACGAACGCUGGCGGCGCGCCUAACACAUGCAAGUCGAACGAGAGAGAGGGAGCUUGCUUCCUUGAUUGAGUGGCGAACGGGUGAGUAACGCGUGAGGAACCUGCCUCAAAGAGGGGGACAACAGUUGGAAACGACUGCUAAUACCGCAUAAGCCCACGGGUCGGCAUCGACCAGAGGGAAAAGGAGCAAUCCGCUUUGAGAUGGCCUCGCGUCCGAUUAGCUAGUUGGUGAGGUAACGGCCCACCAAGGCAACGAUCGGUAGCCGGACUGAGAGGUUGAACGGCCACAUUGGGACUGAGACACGGCCCAGACUCCUACGGGAGGCAGCAGUGGGGAAUAUUGCACAAUGGGGGAAACCCUGAUGCAGCGACGCCGCGUGGAGGAAGAAGGUCUUCGGAUUGUAAACUCCUGUUGUUGAGGAAGAUAAUGACGGUACUCAACAAGGAAGUGACGGCUAACUACGUGCCAGCAGCCGCGGUAAAACGUAGGUCACAAGCGUUGUCCGGAAUUACUGGGUGUAAAGGGAGCGCAGGCGGGAAGACAAGUUGGAAGUGAAAUCCAUGGGCUCAACCCAUGAACUGCUUUCAAAACUGUUUUUCUUGAGUAGUGCAGAGGUAGGCGGAAUUCCCGGUGUAGCGGUGGAAUGCGUAGAUAUCGGGAGGAACACCAGUGGCGAAGGCGGCCUACUGGGCACCAACUGACGCUGAGGCUCGAAAGUGUGGGUAGCAAACAGGAUUAGAUACCCUGGUAGUCCACACCGUAAACGAUGAUUACUAGGUGUUGGAGGAUUGACCCCUUCAGUGCCGCAGUUAACACAAUAAGUAAUCCACCUGGGGAGUACGACCGCAAGG